This 505-nucleotide ribosomal RNA is filed under the name uncultured bacterium. Its description in RNAcentral is "partial 16S ribosomal RNA". It matches the Rfam family "Bacterial small subunit ribosomal RNA", at positions 28 to 507 of the family's 1533-position model. The record is from RNAcentral.
GACGAACGCUGGCGGCGUGCCUAAUACAUGCAAGUAGAACGCACAGUUUAUACCGUAGCUUGCUACACCAUAGACUGUGAGUUGCGAACGGGUGAGUAACGCGUAGGUAACCUGCCUGGUAGCGGGGGAUAACUAUUGGAAACGAUAGCUAAUACCGCAUAAUAUUGAUUAUUGCAUGAUAAUUGAUUGAAAGAUGCUAUUGCAUCACUACCAGAUGGCCCUGCGUUGUAUUAGCUAGUAGGUGAGGUAGCGGCUCACCUAGGCGACGAUACAUAGCCGACCUGGGAGGGUGGUCGGCCACACUGGGACUGAGACACGGCCCAGACGCCUACGGGAGGCAGCAGUAGGGAAUCUUCGGCAAUGGACGAAAGUCUGACCGGGCAACGCCGCGUGAGUGAAGAAGGGUUUCGGAUCGUAAAGCUCGGUUGUAAGAGAAGAACGGGUGUGAGAGUGGAAAGUUCACACUGUGACGGUAGCUGACCAGAAAGGGACGGCUAACUACGUG